Podarcis lilfordi (Lilford's wall lizard) is the source of this 84-nucleotide non-coding RNA. Lineage: Eukaryota; Metazoa; Chordata; Lepidosauria; Squamata; Lacertidae. The record is from the annotation of a GenBank genome assembly.
GCCUUGGUAGCUCAGUUGGUAGAGCAUGAGGCUCUUAAUCUCAGGGUUGUGGGUUCAAGUCCCAUGUUCCUGAACUCCAGGGGG